UGGGGAAUAUUGCGCAAUGGGCGAAAGCCUGACGCAGCCACGCCGCGUGAGCGAUGAAGGUCUUCGGAUCGUAAAGCUCUGUGGGGAGAGAAGAACAAAGCCGGUGAAGAGCCGGCCUUGACGGUAUCUCCUUAGCAAGCACCGGCUAACUCCGUGCCAGCAGCCGCGGUAAUACGGAGGGUGCAAACGUUGCUCGGAAUCAUUGGGCGUAAAGCGCACGUAGGCGGCCAGACAAGUUGGAUGUGAAAGCCCCAGGCUCAACCUGGGACGUGCAUUCAAAACUGUUUGGCUUGAGUUCCGGAGGGGCCCAGAGAAUUCCCGGUGUAGAGGUGAAAUUCGUAGAUAUCGGGAGGAAUACCAGUGGCGAAGGCGCUGGGCUGGACGGAAACUGACGCUGAGGUGCGAAAGCGUGGGGAGCAAACAGG
This 425-nucleotide ribosomal RNA is filed under the name uncultured bacterium. RNAcentral's name for it is "bacterial SSU rRNA". It matches the Rfam family "Bacterial small subunit ribosomal RNA", at positions 355 to 776 of the family's 1533-position model. The record is from RNAcentral.